RNAcentral lists this ribosomal RNA (432 nucleotides) under uncultured bacterium. RNAcentral's name for it is "partial 16S ribosomal RNA". It matches the Rfam family "Bacterial small subunit ribosomal RNA", at positions 338 to 795 of the family's 1533-position model. The record is from RNAcentral.
CCUACGGGAGGCAGCAGUAGGGAAUAUUGCGCAAUGGGCGAAAGCCUGACGCAGCGACGCCGCGUGAGUGAUGAAGGCCUUCGGGUCGUAAAGCUCUGUUGUAAGGGAAGUGGUACCUUAUAAGAAAGGACCGGCUAACUUCGUGCCAGCAGCCGCGGUAAGACGAGGGGUCCUAGCGUUGUUCGGAAUCAUUGGGCGUAAAGCGCAUGUAGGCGGCCUAUCAAGUCAGGUGUGAAAUCCCUGGGCUCAACCCAGGACGUGCACUUGAUACUGGUGGGCUUGAAUAUAGGAGAGGAUAGUGGAAUUCCUGGUGUAGUGGUGAAAUACGUAGAUAUCAGGAGGAACACCGGUGGCGAAGGCGGCUAUCUGGCCUAAAUUGACGCUGAGAUGCGAAAGUGCGGGGAUCAAACAGGAUUAGAUACCCUUGUAGUC